Molecule: ribosomal RNA, 468 nt
Filed under: uncultured bacterium
Lineage: Bacteria
Description: partial 16S ribosomal RNA
Rfam family: Bacterial small subunit ribosomal RNA
Source: RNAcentral
GAUGAACGCUGGCGGCGUGCCUAACACAUGCAAGUCGAGCGAUUCCCUUCGGAGAAGAGCGGCGGACGGGUGAGUAACGCGUGGGUAACCUGCCCUGUACACACGGAUAACAUACCGAACGGUAUGCUAAUACGAGAUAAUAUGCUUUUAUCGCAUGGUAGAAGUAUCAAAGUUUUUGCGGUACAGGAUGGACCCGCGUCUGAUUAGCUAGUUGGUAAGGUAACGGCUUACCAAGGCGACGAUCAGUAGUCGACCUGAGAGGGUGAUCGGCCACAUUGGAACUGAGACACGGUCCAAACUCCUACGGGAGGCAGCAGUGGGGAAUAUUGCACAAUGGGCGAAAGCCUGAUGCAGCAACGCCGCGUGAGCGAUGAAGGCCUUCGGGUCGUAAAGCUCUGUCCUCAAGGAAGAUAAUGACGGUACUUGAGGAGGAAGCCCCGGCUAACUACGUGCCAGCAGCCGCCGUAA